UAUUCGCUAACAUUGAUUAAGAACCCUGCAGGUACUGUGUUAACCACCUUACAUGGCCUAACCCGGUUAUUUCCACAUGGCACUCGGAGGUUAGAAUUGUCGUGGUUUUUAUCUGACAGAGACGGGACCUGUGACAUGGAGCGGUCGGUGACCUGCCUGUGAGAACACAGCUUUUAUGGUGAAUCCACGUUCAGGGGCUCCGAGGAGGCAUCACUAGCAAGAACUCAGUGGAGACUCAGUCAAUACGCUGAGCCACGCGUUCUGGAACACUUAGGAGUAGCAGAUCUUCCCGCUCAACUUGCCAAGCAUCCGUGCUGACAAGAGAGAACCAGAAAUUCCACCUUGUUGACAGAACCCCACUGGUGGUGUGGGCACUUGGCGGCAGCAGCAGUGAGCAGAGCGUAAGGGGACAGAUCUCAGUGGAUCACAGACUAAGAUUCGCCUUUGUCCUGUGACCUCUGCUGGUGACCCGGGGGCUUGAAGUCCCUUCCCUUCUACACCAGGCACGGAU
Long non-coding RNA from Rhinolophus ferrumequinum (greater horseshoe bat), 511 nucleotides. The record is from Ensembl. Lineage: Eukaryota; Metazoa; Chordata; Mammalia; Chiroptera; Rhinolophidae.